UCCGGUUUGUCACCGGCAGUCUCAUUAGAGUGCCCAACUAAAUGUAGCAACUAAUGACAAGGGUUGCGCUCGUUGCGGGACUUAACCCAACAUCUCACGACACGAGCUGACGACAGCCAUGCACCACCUGUCACCCGCCCCGAAGGACCCCGCGUCUCCGCGAGUUUUCGAGUGAUGUCAAACCCAGGUAAGGUUCUUCGCGUUGCAUCGAAUUAAACCACAUGCUCCACCGCUUGUGUGGGUCCCCGUCAAUUCCUUUGAGUUUCAGUCUUGCGACCGUACUCCCCAGGCGGAAUGCUUAAAGCGUUAGCGACGGCACCCGGGGACUUUAAAACCCCAGACACCAAGCAUUCAUCGUUUAAGGCUAGGACUAC
RNAcentral lists this unclassified non-coding RNA (374 nucleotides) under uncultured Acidobacteriota bacterium. RNAcentral describes it as "uncultured Acidobacteria bacterium contains 16S-23S intergenic spacer region". The record is from RNAcentral. Lineage: Bacteria; Pseudomonadati; Acidobacteriota.